This 546-nucleotide ribosomal RNA is filed under the name uncultured bacterium. RNAcentral's name for it is "partial 16S ribosomal RNA". It matches the Rfam family "Bacterial small subunit ribosomal RNA", at positions 355 to 895 of the family's 1533-position model. The record is from RNAcentral.
UGGGGAAUUUUGGACAAUGGGGGAAACCCUGAUCCAGCCAUCCCGCGUGUGCGAUGAAGGCCUUCGGGUUGUAAAGCACUUUUGGCAGGAAAGAAACGUCGCGGGUUAAUACCCGCGAAACUGACGGUACCUGCAGAAUAAGCACCGGCUAACUACGUGCCAGCAGCCGCGGUAAUACGUAGGGUGCAAGCGUUAAUCGGAAUUACUGGGCGUAAAGCGUGCGCAGGCGGUUCGGAAAGAAAGAUGUGAAAUCCCAGAGCUUAACUUUGGAACUGCAUUUUUAACUACCGGGCUAGAGUGUGUCAGAGGGAGGUGGAAUUCCGCGUGUAGCAGUGAAAUGCGUAGAUAUGCGGAGGAACACCGAUGGCGAAGGCAGCCUCCUGGGAUAACACUGACGCUCAUGCACGAAAGCGUGGGGAGCAAACAGGAUUAGAUACCCUGGUAGUCCACGCCCUAAACGAUGUCAACUAGCUGUUGGGGCCUUCGGGCCUUGGUAGCGCAGCUAACGCGUGAAGUUGACCGCCUGGGGAGUACGGUCGCAAGAUU